RNAcentral lists this ribosomal RNA (358 nucleotides) under uncultured bacterium. RNAcentral describes it as "bacterial SSU rRNA". It matches the Rfam family "Bacterial small subunit ribosomal RNA", at positions 917 to 1271 of the family's 1533-position model. The record is from RNAcentral.
GGGCCCGCACAAGCGGUGGAGCAUGUGGUUUAAUUCGAAGCUACGCGCAGAACCUUACCAACACUUGACAUGUCUGUCGCGGAAUUCAGAGAUGAAUUCCUUCGGUUCGGCCGGACAGAACACAGGUGCUGCAUGGCUGUCGUCAGCUCGUGUCGUGAGAUGUUGGUUAAGUCCCGCAACGAGCGCAACCCCUACUUCUAGUUGCCAUCAGGUUAAGCUGGGCACUCUAGUAGGACUGCCUGUGAUAAGCAGGAGGAAGGUUGGGAUGACGUCAAGUCCUCAUGGCCCUUACGUGUUGGGCUACACACGUGCUACAAUGGCCGGUACAAACGGUUGCGAACCCGCGAGGGGAAGCUAA